This is a long non-coding RNA of Osmerus eperlanus (European smelt), 895 nucleotides long. RefSeq lists it as uncharacterized. The record is from RefSeq and is a predicted model, not a curated record. Lineage: Eukaryota; Metazoa; Chordata; Actinopteri; Osmeriformes; Osmeridae. The transcript is spliced from 5 exons.
CACAUUAGAAUUCACACGUACAAACACAGAAGUGCCAUUUUUAGAUCACAUGGUGUAGCGUACUUGCGCUACUUAAACAAAGCAUAAACAUUUAUUUAUUUAUUCAUUUAAAUAUGUAUUACUUGGGCCCUGCAGAGAACAGGACUUUGUUCGUCAAACAGCACACAGCCCAAGAAGCUAAGGGCUAAGACAUGAAGAGGCAGAGGCCAUGUGACAGAGCAGAUGACUGCAGGGAUUGGCUGAGUGCAGCUGUGACAUCAGCAAGCCUCCCACUUCCUCCAUCCCUCCCUCCCCUCUCCUCUCUCUCUCUCUCUCUCUCUCUCUCUUGCGGUCGGCCUCUCUCUCUCUCCCUCGCGCAGUCGUUUUCUCCUCUGCCUUUUCCUCAGCAUCCCCCUCUCAGAGAUGGCGUGUGUCAAUGCUGCUCGGGCGUCCGGGGCCUAACGCGCACAAGGCCCUUCCCCCGAUCCGCUGCAGCCUCCCUGGGCUCCGUGUCCCAGCCGCGUCCCCCCUGCCUGCCUGCCUGCCUGCCUCCACCCCCCCUCCCGCGCCCUGCGCUGGUGUCUGGAAGCUGGGCUCUAGGGGUGAAGGGAGCCGACGUUUCCGCUUCGCUGGGGGAGCCUUUUUCAACGAGCUAUGCCCUACCCCGGCAUCCUCUAACCGGUCGGAUUCCUCCGAAUCCGGUCUUCCACCGUCCGUGGGGGGGGGGGGGGGGGGGGCAGAGGAAUGAAAAGCUGCAGUCAUGAUGGAAGGACUGAGAAAACGGACGAGGAAGGCCUUUGGGUUACGGAGGAAGGAGAAGGACACAGACCCCACCAGUUCACCUGGCAAAGAGGGGGCUAAGAAGACCAAUGGGGCUGCCAACGGCUACAAUGGCGAGAUUGAUUGGGGCCGAUAU